Molecule: long non-coding RNA, 596 nt
Filed under: Brachypodium distachyon (stiff brome)
Lineage: Eukaryota; Viridiplantae; Streptophyta; Magnoliopsida; Poales; Poaceae
Description: long non-coding RNA (BDIS_LNC000089)
Source: RNAcentral
CGCCAGUGUUAAAUUCAGUUAACUAAAGUUCAGUUAAGCUUCAGUUAAUUAAAGUUCACUUUUAAAGUUUUAGAUUCAGCUUUUAAAGUUUAAGUUCAGGUUAGAUUCAGAUUUUUAAAGUUUAUGUUCAGGUUAGAUUCAGCUUUUAAAGUUUAAGUUCAGGUUAGAUUCAGAUUUUAAAGUUCAGGUUAGAUUUUAAAGUUCAGGUUUAAGAAAUAGAGAGAGAUAGAAGAGAGAGAUAGAGAGAUUGAGAGGAGAGAAGAAAGAUUGAGAUGUCAAGAUACAGUUUUAAGUUCAGUCAGAUUCAGGUUUAGAUUUUGAUUUACAUAAGUUCAAACUUAGGUUCGGAUUUAAAUAAGUUUAAACUUAGGUUCAAAAGAUUGAGAGGAGACAAGGGAAUAUAUUGAGAUUGAGAGAAGAGAGAUUAAGAAGAGAUUAAGGGAUUGAGAUGAGAGAGGAGAGGAGAGAUGAGAUUGAGAGGAGAGAAGAGAGAUUGAGAGGAGAGGAUGCAUAUAUAUUCAGCAUGCAUAUAGAGAGAAGAGAGAUUGAGAUUGAGGUCUACAACAUGCAUAUAUAUUCAGCAAUCAAAAAGUGAG